Fukomys damarensis (Damara mole-rat) is the source of this 65-nucleotide microRNA precursor. The record is from Ensembl. Lineage: Eukaryota; Metazoa; Chordata; Mammalia; Rodentia; Bathyergidae.
AGCUUUGAGAACUGAAUUCCAUGGGUUGUGUCAGUGUCAGACCUGUGAAAUUCAGUUCUUCAGCU